This 148-nucleotide non-coding RNA is filed under the name Gorilla gorilla gorilla (western lowland gorilla). The record is from Rfam by way of RNAcentral. Lineage: Eukaryota; Metazoa; Chordata; Mammalia; Primates; Hominidae.
GCCAGGUGUGGUGGUGCACGCCUGUAAUCCCAGCUACUCAGGAGGCUGAGGCAGGAGAAUAGCUUGAACCCCGGAGGCAGAGGUUGCAGUGAGCCAAGAUCGUGCCACUGCACUCUAGCCUGGGUGACAGAGUAAGACUCUGUCUCUA